This 374-nucleotide ribosomal RNA is filed under the name uncultured bacterium. RNAcentral describes it as "bacterial SSU rRNA". It matches the Rfam family "Bacterial small subunit ribosomal RNA", at positions 28 to 404 of the family's 1533-position model. The record is from RNAcentral.
GACGAACGCUGGCGGCGUGCUUAACACAUGCAAGUCGAGCGGUAAGGCCCUUUCGGGGGUACACGAGCGGCGAACGGGUGAGUAACACGUGGGUGACCUGCCCUCAGCUCUGGGAUAAGCCUGGGAAACCGGGUCUAAUACCGGAUAUGACUCCAUGACGCAUGUUGUGGGUGGAAAGCCUUGUGCGGCUGAGGAUGGGCCCGCGGCCUAUCAGCUUGUUGGUGGGGUGAUGGCCUACCAAGGCGACGACGGGUAGCCGGCCUGAGAGGGCGACCGGCCACACUGGGACUGAGACACGGCCCAGACUCCUACGGGAGGCAGCAGUGGGGAAUCUUGCGCAAUGGGCGAAAGCCUGACGCAGCGACGCCGCGUGA